RNAcentral lists this small nucleolar RNA (91 nucleotides) under Fonsecaea pedrosoi CBS 271.37. RNAcentral's name for it is "A. fumigatus snoRNA Afu_263". It matches the Rfam family "A. fumigatus snoRNA Afu_263". The record is from Rfam by way of RNAcentral. Lineage: Eukaryota; Fungi; Ascomycota; Eurotiomycetes; Chaetothyriales; Herpotrichiellaceae.
CUUUGUGAUGAAAACUCCAACCAAAAGCAUAGUUCAACUGAGACGUCAACGUCUUUGAACGAGAACCAAUCCAUCAUUCAAUCUUCUGAAA